This 253-nucleotide ribosomal RNA is filed under the name uncultured bacterium. Its description in RNAcentral is "partial 16S ribosomal RNA". It matches the Rfam family "Bacterial small subunit ribosomal RNA", at positions 524 to 776 of the family's 1533-position model. The record is from RNAcentral.
UACAGAGGGUGCGAGCGUUAAUCGGAAUUACUGGGCGUAAAGCGUGCGUAGACGGUAGCGUAAGUCAGAUGUGAAAGCCCCGGGCUCAACCUGGGAAUUGCAUUUGAGACUGCUCUGCUCGGGUGCGGAAGAGGGAAGCGGAAUUUCCGGUGUAGCGGUGAAAUGCGUAGAUAUCGUCUGGAACGCCGAAGGUGAAAACAGCUCGCUGGGGCUGCGCUGACGCUGAGACACGAAAGCCAGGGGAGCGAACGGG